UACGUAGGGGGCAAGCGUUAUCCGGAUUUACUGGGUGUAAAGGGAGCGUAGACGGCUAUGCAAGUCUGAAGUGAAAGCCCGGGGCUCAACCCCGGGACUGCUUUGGAAACUGUAUGGCUAGAGUGCUGGAGAGGCAAGCGGAAUUCCUAGUGUAGCGGUGAAAUGCGUAGAUAUUAGGAAGAACACCAGUGGCGAAGGCGGCUUGCUGGACAGUAACUGACGUUGAGGCUCGAAAGCGUGGGGAGCAAACAGG
Molecule: ribosomal RNA, 253 nt
Filed under: uncultured bacterium
Lineage: Bacteria
Description: partial 16S ribosomal RNA
Rfam family: Bacterial small subunit ribosomal RNA
Source: RNAcentral